AAAAAGUAUAAAAAAAACAAAACUAAAAUUAAAAAAAAAUUGAAAAAAAUGAAUUAAAAAUAUGUAAGAAGGCGUUCAUGUGGAGCAAAGAGAGAGGAGAGUUUCAAAAUUUUAACAGAACCACUCCCUGCCUGACACGUCGCAGGGAGUGAAAAUUUUAAAAAAAGAAAACCAACUUUUCCCUUCCUCUUCUUCAACUUCCACGCCCGUGUAUCAGAAUCAACCUUGUUGUGCUCUUUUUUUGGAAACAACAUUAACAAAACAUUGUUCAUUCUUUUCAACAUUUCUAAGACAACAAUACCAACACAUUAUUCAUUCUUUUCUCAACAUUUUAAAAGCAAAAUCAACAAAGCAAAGUUUGUCUUUUCUCAAUAUUUUAAAAGCAAAAGCAACAACACAAAGUUCAUAUUUGCAAAAUCUUCUUCUACCUUUCUCCGCUUAUUGAGCCGUGGCGAGAAAGGGAUGCGUGGUGGCGGUUUUGUUGAUGAUAGAUUCAUGAUGUUGGUGGUAACAAAUUGGUGGUUGGCGGCUGUAAAAUGUUAAUGGGUCACAUUUGGUUAUUGAGUAAAAAAGGUGAUGAUUUUUGAGAGUGUUUGGAGGAAGUUGUAGGAGGUUAGGCAUUAUUUGUAUGGCAUGUUGGUAUGCGUAAGAGGGUGACGCCAAAUGUAUGUUGUAGGCAUGGGUCUGUUGUUGCGGUUAUUUCACGUUUUCAUGGUGGUAGGCAGAUCUUGGAGGUUUGAAGGAGGUUAUAUGAUGGUUUGUUAGGGGUGAGUUUUGAUUACGGUGAUCGUUCAUGGAUUUGAGUGGAUUGUGUUUGUAGUUAAAAUCGUUGGAGUUAUAAGAUUUGAGAUGAGAAGAUAAAAUUUUGAAGGUGUAACAAGGUUGUUUGAAGUGUGGUGGUGAGUAUUAUGAGGUUAGUAUGUUAAAUGGAAGGAGAAGAUGAUGAAGUGGGUUUCUAAUAUGGUGAAAGAUGCAGGUUCAGUAGAUGGUGGGAUAAAGAUGAGUGUGUGGUUUAUAGUUUCCAAGGGUAGAGAGAAGAGAUUGUGUUGUAACAAAAAGAGAAAAAAAAAUGAAAGAAUUAGUGGUGGAGAGGUUAUAUGAGUUAGGGUAUGAGGGUGAUAUAAGUGUUGGGAAAUG
Molecule: long non-coding RNA, 1137 nt
Filed under: Lathyrus oleraceus (garden pea)
Lineage: Eukaryota; Viridiplantae; Streptophyta; Magnoliopsida; Fabales; Fabaceae
Description: Pisum sativum (pea) long non-coding RNA (PSAT_LNC024465)
Source: RNAcentral